UGGGGCCAUUGGGCUGCCUUAGAUUCCCCCACCUCUCAGCCUGCUGCCUCUGGACAAAGCUCUGCAGAGGAGCACCAUCUCCUUCAGCGCCCUCCUGCCUUUGGGGUGCAAGUUUCCUGAAGGACUUGAGUGAGAUGUCACCAAGCGACAGGCUGUCAGGCUCUUGGCAGCAAGUCCUGGCCCAGCGACUCACGGCAGAGUCUCUCCUUGGGGCAUCUGUCCUUAUCAGGGGUGGAUGCUGUCAGACUUGCUAAUGGUGGAAUUUCUGGCAUGUGGCAGGGCCAAGUGCAGUGGCUCACACCUAUAAUCCCAGCACUUUGGGAGGCUGAGGCACGAGGAUUGCUUGAGCCCAAGAGUUCAUUACCAGCCUGGGCAACAGAGCGAGACCCCGCCUCCACAAAAAAAUUUUUAAAAAUUAGCUGGGCAUGGUGGCCUGUGCCUGUAGUCCCAGCUCUUUGGGAGACUGAGGCAGGAGGAUCAACUUGAGCCCAGAAGGUGGAAGCUGCAGUAAGCCAUGGUUCUGCCAGCACACUUGAGCCUGGACCACAGAGCAAGACACUAUAGAGAAGACAGGCAGGUGAAAACAAAGGCAGAGACCAGAGUUAUACGUCCAAAAGCCAAGGAAUGCCGGGGACUGCCAGAAGCUGGAAGAGGCAAGGCAGGAUCCCCCACUAAAGGCCUUGGAGGGAGCACGGCUUUAGCAACACCUCAAUUUGAGAUGUCUAUUCUCCGAACAGUGGGAAUAAGUGUCUGCUGCUGUAAACCACCCUGCCUGUGGCACUUUGUUACAGCAGCCCAGGAACCUGACCCAGCCAGGCUGCUCCUGCUACCCAGCAUGCCCUUCUCUCAUCCCUCCAGCUGGUCUCUCACUGCCUUCGAGCCCCAUCACCUGCUCGGGCUCCCCCUCUGUGUGUCCCCAAUUCUGGACACUUAUUCAGCAGACCUGUAAGGUUUGCUGGCCAGCCUACCUCCCUGGCUAGACUGCAGGCUCCUUCAGGGCAGGCCUGACCUGUGCUAGGGCAGCAUGAUGCCUGGUACAGAAUAGGUGCUCCUUAGAUGUGGGGUGAAUAAAGGAAUGCUCGAAGGGUGAUGGGCCCCUAUG
RNAcentral lists this long non-coding RNA (1102 nucleotides) under Pongo abelii (Sumatran orangutan). Its description in RNAcentral is "lincRNA". Lineage: Eukaryota; Metazoa; Chordata; Mammalia; Primates; Hominidae. The record is from RNAcentral.